UACGUAGGGUGCGAGCGUUGUCCGGAAUUAUUGGGCGUAAAGGGCUCGUAGGCGGUUUGUCGCGUCGGGAGUGAAAUCCACUGGCUUAACUGGUGGCUUGCUUCGAUACGGGCAGACUGGAGGUAUGCAGGGGAGAACGGAAUUCCUGGUGUAGCGGUGAAAUGCGCGAUAUCAGGAGGAACACCGGUGGCGAAGGCGGGUCUCUGGGCCGAUACUGACGCUGAGGAGCGAAAGCGUGGGGAGCGAACAGG
This 251-nucleotide ribosomal RNA is filed under the name uncultured bacterium. RNAcentral describes it as "partial 16S ribosomal RNA". It matches the Rfam family "Bacterial small subunit ribosomal RNA", at positions 524 to 776 of the family's 1533-position model. The record is from RNAcentral.